ACACGGGGGGUGCAAGCGUUAUUCGGAAUUACUGGGCGUAAAGAGCGCGUAGGCGGUCUUUUAAGUCGGGUGUGAAAGCCCGGGGCUCAACCCCGGAAGUGCACUUGAAACUAAGGGACUUGAGUAUGGGAGAGGGAAGUGGAAUUCCUGGUGUAGCGGUGAAAUGCGUAGAUAUCAGGAGGAACACCGGUGGCGAAGGCGACUUCCUGGACCAAUACUGACGCUGAGGCGCGAAGGCGUGGGGAGCAAACAGGAUUAGAUACCCUAGUAGUCC
Molecule: ribosomal RNA, 274 nt
Filed under: uncultured bacterium
Lineage: Bacteria
Description: partial 16S ribosomal RNA
Rfam family: Bacterial small subunit ribosomal RNA
Source: RNAcentral